This 1082-nucleotide long non-coding RNA is filed under the name Cucumis sativus (cucumber). Its description in RNAcentral is "long non-coding RNA (CSAT_LNC002407)". The record is from RNAcentral. Lineage: Eukaryota; Viridiplantae; Streptophyta; Magnoliopsida; Cucurbitales; Cucurbitaceae.
UGAAGUUUGUUAAAAAUGUUUUUUAGAUAAUUUAAGAUUUAUUAAAAGUAGGAAAAGAUAACUAAAAUCAAACAAAAUUCAAAAUAUAAAGUCAAAAAGGGUGUCUGACCAGAAGAAGAUACACUACAAUAAUGGUAAUGUCUUAAACAAUAAUGUGAUCUUUUGUUUCUAUUCCAAUAUCACUUGUAAUAUAAUACAUUAAUCCUCAAGUUGGGAAAGGAAAUUAUGUGUGAGUGGUGCAUUGCAUUAUGUACUGUCUUGUGGCUGCUAAGAGGAGAUAGUUCCUGGCAUCUUCCAUUGGACUUCAUUACUUCAUUACUUCAUCAAAAUCAUAAAGCCACUGCCCUAUAAAUAUAAGCAUAUGAGAAGGGGUUUUUGUAAAUUGUAAUUCAUAAGAAGUUUUUACAAGUAAUAUAAUCAUAAUGUCAAAAGCAGGGGCAAAGAAUGAAGAGGCAACAGUAGUAUCUAUAGAUACUGCAAGUGAAAAUAAAAAGGAUAGAGAAGAGAAGAACAGUGGUUGGAUGAAACCAGGAGAUGUGGAUUUUGUAAUGGUAAGUCCUUCAAUUUCUCUGCUCUUUUUGUUUCUCCCUCUGGCCUCUAUCCGUUAUUAGUGGUUGGAUGGAGCUUUCAUUACUGUUUCAUUUUCUUUUGCUCACCUUAUUAUUUGUCAAUUUCACGACAGGUUGUCGUAACAUUCAUCGCAGCCGUGGCAUUCCAAGUAGGAAUAAACCCACCGGGCAGUGUAUGGCAGGAGGACAAGAAUGGGUUUACUGCAGGUAAAUCAAUAAUGGCAUCAAAAUCACCUUCGGAAUACAAGAAAUUCAUGGCGGGAGUGACACUAUGUCUUGGAUUUUCAUUGAUCCAGUUAUGUGUGAUGUUAUUCAGAUGGUAUCUCAAAAGUUAUUCAGUUAGGAGAAUGAUUAUGUACAUACUGAUGCUGUGUACAAUAGCGCCAAUGAUUGUUUCGUUUUGGGCCUCUGUUAAAGCUUUGACACCUGAUGAAAAACUAAUGUCUGAGAUCACUGCUACCAUAUGGUCUAUUUUGGGAGUCUAUCUUAUAAGUCUCCCAAUUAUUCUUCUAU